CCUACGGGUGGCAGCAGUGGGGAAUAUUGCGCAAUGGGCGAAAGCCUGACGCAGCGACGCCGCGUGUGGGAUGAAGGUCUUCGGAUCGUAAACCUCUGUCAGCAGGGAGGAACGGUCACUGUGCUAAUCAGCAGUGAAUUGACGGUACCUGCAAAGGAAGCACCGGCUAACUCCGUGCCAGCAGCCGCGGUAAUACGGAGGGUGCGAGCGUUAAUCGGAAUUACUGGGCGUAAAGCGCUCGUAGGCGGUAUGUCAAGUCAAGGGUGAAAUCCCCGCGCUCAACGUGGGAACUGCCUUUGAAACUGGCAAGCUGGAGUGUGGGAGAGGAUAGUAGAAUUCCAGGUGUAGGAGUGAAAUCCGUAGAGAUCUGGAGGAACAUCAGUGGCGAAGGCGACUAUCUGGCACAUAACUGACGCUGAGGUGCGAAAGCGUGGGUAGCAAACAGGAUUAGAUACCCCGGUAGUC
This 465-nucleotide ribosomal RNA is filed under the name uncultured bacterium. RNAcentral describes it as "partial 16S ribosomal RNA". It matches the Rfam family "Bacterial small subunit ribosomal RNA", at positions 338 to 795 of the family's 1533-position model. The record is from RNAcentral.